GAGGAACAAGACAGGUGAAGAAGCUGCGCAAACUGUUGCUACAGAGUAUAAUAGUUAUGUUCAUGUAAUGGGUCUUAUGACAGUAGCUACAGCCUUAUACGAUGAGUACGUGGCUACCACGCGGAAUACUGGACACUCCUCAUAAAUGGAAACUUUUGAAAAUCUCUGAAAGAAAUGGAUAGAGGAGACCGACCAAAUAAUUAGAAAAUUAUAUUCAACUUAAUUCAAAAAUGUAUGUUCGUGUUUGAGUUGCAAUACUUGUAUAAUAAGAGGACCUUCGGAUCCCUUUGUCUUGAGUAUGUGAGUAAUGUUUGAUGAUGAUGGAAAUGCCCUCAGUGAAAUACGAUUUGAUAAGUUUGAGAAAGAUUACAUUAAAAUAGAUCCGAAACCCAGUCAAAUAGGCGAUAACCUUAGCAAUAUUUAAUAGGUACCCACAUCAACAAAACUUGAUUUGAUCCAAACUGUCCCAAACAAAGCUACACUGCAGGCGUACGUAUGGGACCGACUAGUUGCGAUAUCAACGGAUCAAAAAUGCUUACUCGUCAUGUACGUUUCACAUCACAGCGAAGAGAACAGAAACGAACCAAGUAAACAAAACGACUGAACCGAAGGAGAAAAAGAUAAAAGCAUAUUAGGCACACCGAAUUCAGAAGUGCACUACAUGGCCGUUUAACUGAGUAAUCACACACAUGUGCUAAUCGCCUGUAGGCGUUCAAUAUUAAGCGAUAUCUAAACUAUUGUUUGUUUUGUUGUUGCAAUAACUGAAACAUUUGAAAACGUUUCUUCCAUAACAACUUACCUGAACCUGGCAAAACUAGCCGCAAUUGUAAUUUAAUAGCUACAAAACUCUUUGAUUCGAAAGAGCGCUAUCAAAAUGUGAACGAUUUAAAACUUGUUAAAUCUCUUGGGUAUUUAUAAAUUAAAAUUGGUAUCCAUUUACUGGAUGGAAAAACUUUUUAAUAUUAUAUUCUAAAAUCGAAGUGAAUAUACUAGUUAAAAAAUUCUAAACAAAUUAUGUAUUUACUUGUUGGACACUUGACACUGUGUUCGUGUCACUCGCUUACAAAAGAAGAGCUGCUUUAAUUUGGCGUGAUACACCCUCAUCUUAAAAAUCUAAAUAUUAUGUGUCUCAAUUAAAGUCAUCGCCGUUUAUAGGGUGCUGUUGGUGGGCACAAUUUAAAAGCUUGUUUCUUGCUUUCAUCGCUUUAUUAUCUAUCCUCUGUUUGGUUGUUCAUUCUACUCAAGCUUGCACACAUUUUUUGCGUGUGUUGGUUCAUGCAAAUGUAUAAGUCAGGGAUUUAUGUGUUGAUAUUGGUGUGUGCAAAGAUUUUCUGCCCUCCGAUUUCUUUUGUUGAAAUAUAUAUUUUGAUACUUAGAUUAGCGCAAAAGUUAUAAAUUAAAAUAAAAUAGUGAAAUUCUUUUAGACUUAUGUUAACUUAUAAGAUUAUUGUUAUUAAUUAAAAGUACAAUAAUAAUGGAGGUAAUACUUUUGCUUUGUUAUAUUUUUAAUGAAUCUCUCUAUACAUUUAUCGUGGUGUUGGUGCCCUCAUGAGACGUCAACAAAUAAAAAGCUCCACCAGCUGUUUUGCACAACAACAGAGUAUUGGUGCAUUCACCAAAAUUGUAAACAAACGGUCAGUUAGUAUUUGUCAUUGAACAAAGAGCGCCACGUCCGAAACUGAGGCACGAAAGUCUCUUCUGCUCUCCAAUACCAAAGUUAUUGGGUUCUAGUGUGAGUGGAAAUUUGAUUUUGGCUAUGUGUGAAAUCAUUUCUGCAUGAAAGUGUGUGUGAGAUAGAUUGUAUUGUUUUGUAGUUACAUUAUACAUAUUUUAUUUAUUUCUGUAAAAUUCUGGUUUAAAUUUAAACCCAAUUUUAACAAUGACAAAAACACACAAAUAGAAAGAGAAUGCCUGCAACAGCUGUGACAAUACAUGAAAAUUGAUAAAAAGAUGGCUUAUCGCACUGUUAAAGAACGUUUUCAUAAAUGUUUGACUAUAUAUAGAAUAUAUAUAUGUGUAUGUACAUGGUAAUAUAUUUUAUUGAAGAAGCUGCCUGAUGUUUCUUUUUCGUACUAGUGAUAACAGCUAGUGUAUAUUUGUACGACAUGAAAUAAAAAUGCUUUGAACAUUAACUUUACCAUUAGGUUAUUAAGGCGAUGUUUUAAUAUAUACAAUAGAUACUUCACUAAAUAUUAUUGUCAAUUAAAAUGUAAUUCAAUUUCAAUAUUUCUAUAAUAACGCUAUGAAAUGUAUUUCAACUUCAAAAUAAUUAUUUUUUAAUCAAAACAAAAAAAACACGAAAACACAUUUUCAUAUGCUCAUAAAUUAAGACAGAGACAGAGAACAAAUGUAUAGCCCAGGCUAUCACUGCUUUAGUUAAAUCUUACUCCUGCUUUUUCCCUUCUAAACACCUACAUAUCUUUUCAAUCCACCUUUAAAUGACCUCGAUCAACACAUUUAAAUUCCUGAUUAGGGCUUUAACAAUCGCUACACUUAACACUCAUGUGUCAUGUAAUCUACCUAAUUUAGCAAGGUUAAUUGUAUUAAUUAUAUAGAAGAUGUAGUUAAACACAACGACCUUGACAGAACUAAAUAAACAAAAACGACAUCAUUACGAUAAUACCUUAGGGGCUACAUGAGCAAAAACGGCAUAUUUUCAAUAUUUUUUUUAUGUAAAAAAUAUAAUAUUUUAUUCAAACUUUUUAUAAUUUCUAAG
Non-coding RNA from Bactrocera oleae (olive fruit fly), 2716 nucleotides. The record is from RefSeq and is a predicted model, not a curated record. Lineage: Eukaryota; Metazoa; Arthropoda; Insecta; Diptera; Tephritidae.